UACAGAGGGUGCAAGCGUUAAUCGGACUUACUGGGCGUAAAGGGCGCGUAGGCGGAUGCGUAAGUCAGAUGUGAAAGGCCAUGGCUUAACCAUGGAAUGGCAUUUGAGACUGCGCGUCUAGAGUCGAAGAGAGGGAAGCGGAAUUUCCGGUGUAGCGGUGAAAUGCGUAGAUAUCGGAAGGAACACCCGUAGCGAAGGCGGCUGCCUGGAUUCAGACUGACGCUGAGGCGCGAAAGCGUGGGUAGCGAACAGG
Molecule: ribosomal RNA, 253 nt
Filed under: uncultured bacterium
Lineage: Bacteria
Description: partial 16S ribosomal RNA
Rfam family: Bacterial small subunit ribosomal RNA
Source: RNAcentral